GAUGAACGUUGGCGGCGUGCCUAAUACAUGCAAGUCGAACGAAGACUGUAGUAAUACUGUCUUAGUGGCGAACGGGUGAGUAACGCGUGGGUGACCUGCCCCGAAGUGUGGGAUAACAGUCCGAAAGGAUUGCUAAUACUGCAUAAUAUCCAAGAGAUUAGAUGCUUUUUGGAUUAAAGGAGUAAUUCGCUUCGGGAGGGGCCCGCGUCCCAUCAGCUAGUUGGUAAGGUAAUGGCUUACCAAGGCGAUGACGGGUAGGGGACCUGAGAGGGUGGCCCCCCACAAUGGAACUGAAACACGGUCCAUACACCUACGGGUGGCAGCAGUAGGGAAUAUUAGUAAUGGGCGAAAGCCUGAACUAGCAACGCCGCGUGUGCGAAGAAGGCCUUCGGGUUGUAAAGCACUUUUUGAGAGGAUGAGGAAGGACGGGUACUCUCAGAAUAAGUCUCGGCUAACUACGUGCCAGCAGCCGCGGUAAGAUCACGUGUA
RNAcentral lists this ribosomal RNA (489 nucleotides) under uncultured bacterium. RNAcentral describes it as "bacterial SSU rRNA". It matches the Rfam family "Bacterial small subunit ribosomal RNA", at positions 28 to 531 of the family's 1533-position model. The record is from RNAcentral.